UCUCAUCUUCAGAUUGUGUAGCUUGCUUCUCAUUCUCAGCACUCUGGAUGCUACUUUGCAUUUCAAGAAGUUUUUCUUGCUCCUCAUCAGCUGCUUGUGGAUUUACAUCGUUCAAAGCCUUAGGCUUGUUGCUCGUGGAUUGCUGGUACAUAACACCACCAAGCAUGCAGAUCAAGAGUCCCACUGUUCCAACAAGAGUCGAGUGCUUAUCCCAGAUAACUAGAUUUAUCACCACUGUCAAUAGUUUGUUCACUAUGCCAAGAACAGUAAAGCCAGUCGCAGAUAUUGUUCUGCGGCAAGAAAAUCCAAAGAAAGAGAUAGCUAAACCAAACAAACACGACAGGGCUACGGGUAACACCACUUGAAAACUGUACCAAUCUGACUCAUCCUGAAUUUCAUGCUUUAUUUUUUUCAGCUCGCCCAUUAUAAGCAGCUCAAUAGGAAAAAGCAUCAAAGCCUCAAGAUUGUUGUAUAACACGAGUCCCCACGUGUUUAAGCCAAUUGUCAUUACGACAUGCUUGAUAUAAACAAAAUCAAUGGACAUGCUCACUAAGUACGCCACGGCCCAGCUAUAAGCUGUAAGUGUGAACUGGUAAUCAGUAGUGACAUAGAGCACACUACCAGCAAAGAUUGUACCCAGUGACGCCCAUGUUUUAAUAGCUGGCCAUGGUUGGUGCAAGUAGAGGGUCUCUCCUAUUGCAACAAAG
This 707-nucleotide unclassified non-coding RNA is filed under the name Hevea brasiliensis (rubber tree). Lineage: Eukaryota; Viridiplantae; Streptophyta; Magnoliopsida; Malpighiales; Euphorbiaceae. The record is from RNAcentral.